AACGAACGCUGGCGGCAUGCUUAACACAUGCAAGUCGAACGAGACCUUCGGGCCUAGGGGCGCACGGGUGCGUAACGCGUGGGAACCUGCCCUUAGGUUCGGAAUAACUCCCCGUAAGGGGUCCUAAUACCGGAUAAUGUAUUCGGACCAAGGAGUUAGGGCCUGUGGGUGGGCCCGCGUUGGUUUAGCGAGUUGGUGGGGUAAAAGCCUGCCAAGGCGAUGAUCCAUAGGUGGUCUGAGAGGAGGAACAGCGCCACUGGGACUGGGACACGGCCCAGACUGGUACGAGAGGUAGCAGUGGGGAAAAUUGGACAAGGGGCGAAAGCCUGAAACAGCAAUGCCGCGUGAGUGAUGAACGCGUUAUGGUUGUAAAGCGCUUUUGACCGGGAUGAUAAUGACAGUACCGGUAGAAUAAGCUCCGGUUAACUCCGU
This 432-nucleotide ribosomal RNA is filed under the name uncultured bacterium. Its description in RNAcentral is "partial 16S ribosomal RNA". It matches the Rfam family "Bacterial small subunit ribosomal RNA", at positions 29 to 506 of the family's 1533-position model. The record is from RNAcentral.